GACGAACGCUGGCGGCGUGCUUAACACAUGCAAGUCGAACGGAAAGGCCCUGCUUUUGUGGGGUGCUCGAGUGGCGAACGGGUGAGUAACACGUGAGUAACCUGCCCUUGACUUUGGGAUAACUUCAGGAAACUGGGGCUAAUACCGGAUAGGAGCUCCUGCUGCAUGGUGGGGGUUGGAAAGUUUCGGCGGUUGGGGAUGGACUCGCAGCUUAUCAGCUUGUUGGUGGGGUAGUGGCUUACCAAGGCUUUGACGGGUAGCCGGCCUGAGAGGGUGACCGGCCACAUUGGGGCUGAGAUACGGCCCAGACUCCUACGGGAGGCAGCAGUGGGGAAUAUUGCACAAUGGGCGGAAGCCUGAUGCAGCAACGCCGCGUGCGGGAUGACGGCCUUCGGGUUGUAAACCGCUUUCGCCUGUGACGAAGCGUGAGUGACGGUAAUGGGUAAAGAAGCACCGGCUAACUACGUG
Molecule: ribosomal RNA, 468 nt
Filed under: uncultured bacterium
Lineage: Bacteria
Description: partial 16S ribosomal RNA
Rfam family: Bacterial small subunit ribosomal RNA
Source: RNAcentral